UACAGAGGGGGCGAGCGUUAUUCGGAAUUAUUGGGCGUAAAGGGCGCGUAGGCGGCCUUUCAAGUGACGGGUGAAAUCCCUCGGCUCAACCGAGGAACUGCGCUCUAAACUACAGUGCUCGAGGGAGACAGAGGUGAGCGGAACUUAGGGUGGAGCGGUGAAAUGCGUUGAUAUCCUAAGGAACACCCGUGGCGAAAGCGGCUCACUGGGUCUCUUCUGACGCUGAGGCACGAAAGCCAGGGUAGCGAACGGG
RNAcentral lists this ribosomal RNA (253 nucleotides) under uncultured bacterium. RNAcentral describes it as "partial 16S ribosomal RNA". It matches the Rfam family "Bacterial small subunit ribosomal RNA", at positions 524 to 776 of the family's 1533-position model. The record is from RNAcentral.